Molecule: non-coding RNA, 1802 nt
Organism: Malus domestica (apple)
Lineage: Eukaryota; Viridiplantae; Streptophyta; Magnoliopsida; Rosales; Rosaceae
Source: RefSeq, a predicted model, not a curated record
UUAUUUCUUCACCAGCAACCUUGCGGCAACUUCCUUGCUAAUUUGAGCUGCUCGACCAUGACAUGAACGCAUCCUCCACACGUUUGACUCCCUGUACGUCAGUCUUUGUCGUUGUCAUGUCUCUCGCGACCUCAUGAUCAAGUACCCAAGUCUGAAUAAUUUGUGCAGACCAAGUGUUUGUUCUUCUGCUUUCUGUUUGGUAUAGCUUCCCAACACUGGAAGAAGGUGAAUUCUACUGGAAAUUGGACAACUUUGUGGGAUUUCAAGGUGUUUCUGACAGGUGAAUAUUUUGAAGUUUUGUAGCAGAAUGAAGAUAGAUCCAAUCCGAAAUUUAGGACCUUUUCAAUUUAAUAAGAAGAUCACAGUACGUGUAUGCAGAAUUUGGAGACCUAAGGUUAUAGGAAAGGACAAUACGUUUGGCGGUCUUCAAUGUAUAUUGGUUGAUGAAAUGAUGUUCUGGGAUGCAUCACUACAGUAAAGCCUUUGGAGGACAGAAUGAUCGGUAAUGAGAGAAUGGAGAAAACACGCGAAGUGAAGUUGCAAAAUAUCAGGUCAACAAUAUAUGGAGACAUUUGAAUUUCUCAAAAUUGCUGCACAUUUUAUUCAAAAUACUAAUGUUUUUCUUAAUAUCCGUUCACUUAGGAGAGAAGAUGUUAACCUGACAUUGUGGGGUAACACUGUAAAGACCUUUGAUUUCGAAGCUCUGGAACACUUGACACCACCAGUUUUGGGUGUUUUUACAAGCCUUAACGUUAGACGAUUCAGAGAAAACAUUGUGCUGAACAACAGUAUUUCCACAAUGAUUUUCAUCAAUCCAGACAUUCUCGAAGCAACUCCUUACAAAGCAAUCAAGACAACUAAUGGGAUCAAAACAAUUGGAAAACGCUGAAAAACUGUCUGUUCAGGAUCUGAAUGUUUUGGAUCCAGAUUUGUACAAGAACACUUCAGUCUUAUGUAGAGCAGCCAUUACACGUUUUGACACGCAUGUUGGAUGGUGGUACAAAGCAUGUCCAUGCUGCUACAAACAACUGAGAAAAUAUGAAAAUAACAACGUACUAAUUUGUGUAAAGCACAAUGUUCAAACUCCCCUACCCUGAAAUGAUCUCUUGGUCCAAGCGAUUUUCGUCGACAAAAUACAAGCUGUUCAAUCAAGUUCCAAAGCUUCUUAUGAAUCAUUGGCUGAAUUUGAGGAGGUAGAUACUACAGCUCAGACUUUCAGCUCUGUUGUUACAACAUCGUCUACAGAAAGUUUAAUUCCAAAGGGUCUUUUCAGCUCUGAGAGUAGAAAAAAACCAAAGAGGGAAACUGAAAUUACUGAAGAAAUAGAUGAACAAAACGCUUCGGGCACCGAAGAUUUUCCCAUCAAAUCCCUCAGGAACAAAAUGUCUCCAAACAAAACUGAAAUAGUAUCUACUACUUCCAAAACCCGCAAGAACAAGUGCAAAGAUGACUGAAGUUCUCUGAACAAUACAGAACAAAUGGAAGUUUUUUUUUAUGAGCCCAAGGACAAAGAAGCAACAUGAAAACUAGAACCAUGUGGACAAUUUUUGAAACUGUAUAUAUUUGGGACUUGCAAGUCCAUCCUGUUAGUCGUUCAGAUCUGUUUUUUUUUUAUGUACAUAGAACUUUUAACAUAGAGUUAGUAAAAUACAGGUGCAAAAUGAACGGCUAAUCAAAGUGGGAGACUUUUGGAAGUGUAUAUGAAUGUAAAACUUAGAAAUCUCCCCAUUGGAUUGUAAAUAUGCUUUUGAUGUAAAAUAAAUAGAAUCUUCUAUAACUGAAAACCCUAUUUGACCCUGUUU